GACGAACGCUGGCGGCGUGCUUAACACAUGCAAGUCGAACGGAAAGGCCCUGCUUGUGUGGGGUGCUCGAGUGGCGAACGGGUGAGUAACACGUGAGUAACCUGCCCUUGACUUUGGGAUAACUUCAGGAAACUGGGGCUAAUACCGGAUAGGAGCUCCUGCUGCAUGGUGGGGGUUGGAAAGUUUCGGCGGUUGGGGAUGGACUCGCGGCUUAUCAGCUUGUUGGUGGGGUAGUGGCUUACCAAGGCUUUGACGGGUAGCCGGCCUGAGAGGGUGACCGGCCACAUUGGGCCUGGGAUACGGCCCAGACUCCUACGGGAGGCAGCAGUGGGGAAUAUUGCACAAUGGGCGGAAGCCUGAUGCAGCAACGCCGCGUGCGGGAUGACGGCCUUCGGGUUGUAACCCGCUUUCGCCUGUGACGAAGCGUGAGUGACGGUAAUGGGUAAAGAAGCACCGGCUAACUACGUG
RNAcentral lists this ribosomal RNA (468 nucleotides) under uncultured bacterium. Its description in RNAcentral is "partial 16S ribosomal RNA". It matches the Rfam family "Bacterial small subunit ribosomal RNA", at positions 28 to 507 of the family's 1533-position model. The record is from RNAcentral.